UGGGGAAUAUUGCACAAUGGAGGAAACUCUGAUGCAGCAACGCCGCGUGGGGGAAGAAGGUCUUCGGAUUGUAAACCUUUGUCCUUGGGGACGAUAAUGACGGUAGCGAAGGAGGAAGCGCCGGCUAACUACGUGAAAGCAGCCGCGGUAAUAGAACG
This 158-nucleotide ribosomal RNA is filed under the name uncultured Clostridium sp. Its description in RNAcentral is "partial 16S ribosomal RNA". It matches the Rfam family "Bacterial small subunit ribosomal RNA", at positions 355 to 527 of the family's 1533-position model. Lineage: Bacteria; Bacillati; Bacillota; Clostridia; Eubacteriales; Clostridiaceae. The record is from RNAcentral.